CAGGAUGAACGCUAGCGAUAGGCCUAACACAUGCAAGUCGAGGGGCAGCACAUGACGUAGCAAUACAGAUGGUGGCGACCGGCGCACGGGUGAGUAACACGUAUGCAACCUACCUCCACUGGAGAAUAACCCGUUGAAGGACGGGCUAAUACUCCAUAAUACAGGGGUCCCGCAUGGGAAUAUUUGUUAAAGAAUUUUCGGUAGAAGAUGGGCAUGCGUUCCAUUAGCUAGUUGGUUGAGGUAACGGCUCACCAAGGCAACGAUGGAUAGGGGAACUGAGAGGUUUAUCCCCCACACUGGUACUGAGACACGGACCAGACUCCUACGGGAGGCAGCAGUGAGGAAUAUUGGUCAAUGGAGGCAACUCUGAACCAGCCACGUCGCCGUGAAGGAUGACGGCCCUAUGGGUUGUAAACUUCUUUUAUACAGGAAUAAAGUGAGCCACGAGUUGGUUUUUUGCAUGUACUGUAUGAAUAAGGAUCGGCUAACUCCGUGCCAGCCGCCGC
RNAcentral lists this ribosomal RNA (506 nucleotides) under uncultured bacterium. RNAcentral describes it as "bacterial SSU rRNA". It matches the Rfam family "Bacterial small subunit ribosomal RNA", at positions 25 to 518 of the family's 1533-position model. The record is from RNAcentral.